CGUUCUUAUUGUACGCAGAGACAUUUUCCAAACACAUAUAAAAAUAUAUAGGUAUUAUAGAUAUUAGGUACUCGUGUGGCGCCGUGACGUUGAAUGUGUAAAAGUAUAGAACGCGUAUAGAUUUUUGUCGGAGUCCCCCUCCCCGUUAGAAACGAAUAAAGAAACAUCUCGUCCUCUUUGUACAAAUCGUAAACGCGGUGUAAGAACCUAUAACCGCAUCGGCCGAUUGAUUAACAGUUUGUAUUUUUAAGGCCCGAGUUUUCUGCUGUAUAUAUAUAUAUA
Cinara cedri is the source of this 282-nucleotide non-coding RNA. The record is from the annotation of a GenBank genome assembly. NCBI's taxonomy places the organism in Eukaryota, Metazoa, Arthropoda, Insecta, Hemiptera, Aphididae.